UACAUUAUUUUGUUUUGGCAUUGUGUGUGAACUGUUGCAUGAAAGAAAGAGGCACGAAGCUUCCUUCUUUAGCAUUGUUUACAAAAGCAUUACUAUCACUGCUACUCUCCCAUGCAACUCUCCUCUCUCUCCCUGUAGAUCCCUUCAUAGGGAGAAAUGGACAAGAAGAUGAUCAGGGUUAAAGGUACGAGAUCUGUGUCUCAAAGAGUACUUGCAAGUAGAAGAAAGAAGGGAUCAUGUCUAGUUACACGGCCUUUUAGAGGACGGAUCAAACGCAAGAUUUUUGUUCUUAUUUACAGGAUUUUUAAGAAUGGAAGCCAACGUGCCCGUCGUUACCUUGUUAGCAACUGCAGCCACUGUUAGCCAUCUUUCUUUUUAUUAACAUCAAGGGACCAUUAGUUUCCUUCUAAACUGGUUUAUGGAGUUCGAUCAGUUCUAUUUCUACUAAGUAAAAAAACUAAUGUUAGGUCUUAAGGAAGCAUCGAUCAGGUGAAGUUUGGAACUGUGGUUGUCAAUCUCUCUCGCAACGAUAAAUCACAAUCUCCAGUCGAGAGAUGUCUAUUUGCAGUUGUACUUUUAACUGUACAGGCGAAAGUCUUCCGAGGCCAAUAAGGUGUUCUUUUUCUUUUUCCUUUCUUCAGGUUUUAUUUUCAUUAUAUUGUGCAUUAGUGCUCCCGUAAUAUCUUAUAGUUAAUUUAUUUAUUUCCUUA
Molecule: long non-coding RNA, 710 nt
Organism: Ricinus communis (castor bean)
Lineage: Eukaryota; Viridiplantae; Streptophyta; Magnoliopsida; Malpighiales; Euphorbiaceae
Exons: 3
Source: RefSeq, a predicted model, not a curated record